RNAcentral lists this ribosomal RNA (524 nucleotides) under uncultured bacterium. RNAcentral describes it as "partial 16S ribosomal RNA". It matches the Rfam family "Bacterial small subunit ribosomal RNA", at positions 28 to 523 of the family's 1533-position model. The record is from RNAcentral.
GACGAACGCUGGCGGCGUGCCUAAUACAUGCAAGUCGAACGAAGCUGUUUUAACUGGUGCUUGCACCGACUUAAACAACUGAGUGGCGAACGGGUGAGUAACACGUGGGUAACCUGCCCCAAAGCGGGGGAUAACAUUUGGAAACAGAUGCUAAUACCGCAUAACCACAGAAACCACAUGGUUUCUGUGUCAAAGAUGGUUUCGGCUAUCACUUUGGGAUGGACCCGCGGCGUAUUAGCUAGUUGGUAAGGUAAUGGCUUACCAAGGCAAUGAUACGUAGCCGAACUGAGGGGUUGAUCGGCCACAUUGGGACUGAGACACGGCCCAAACUCCUACGGGAGGCAGCAGUAGGGAAUCUUCCACAAUGGACGAAAGUCUGAUGGAGCAACGCCGCGUGAGUGAAGAAGGUUUUCGGAUCGUAAAACUCUGUUGUCAGAGAAGAACGUGUGCGAGAGUAACUGUUCGUGCAGUGACGGUAUCUGGCCAGAAAGCCACGGCUAACUACGCGCCAGCCGCCGCGGUAA